RNAcentral lists this ribosomal RNA (882 nucleotides) under Leucaenicola sp. RNAcentral describes it as "partial large subunit ribosomal RNA". It matches the Rfam family "Eukaryotic large subunit ribosomal RNA", at positions 65 to 969 of the family's 3401-position model. The record is from RNAcentral. Lineage: Eukaryota; Fungi; Ascomycota; Dothideomycetes; Pleosporales; Bambusicolaceae.
CCAACAGGGAUUGCCCUAGUAACGGCGAGUGAAGCGGCAACAGCUCAAAUUUUAAAUCUGGCUCCCUCGGGGUCCGAGUUGUAAUUUGCAGAGGGUGCUUUGGCGUCGGUAGCGGUCUAAGUUCCUUGGAACAGGACAUCACAGAGGGUGAGAAUCCCGUACGUGGUCGCUAACCUUCGCCGUGUAAAGCCCCUUCGACGAGUCGAGUUGUUUGGGAAUGCAGCUCUAAAUGGGAGGUAAAUUUCUUCUAAAGCUAAAUACCGGCCAGAGACCGAUAGCGCACAAGUAGAGUGAUCGAAAGAUGAAAAGCACUUUGGAAAGAGAGUCAAAUAGCACGUGAAAUUGUUGAAAGGGAAGCGCUUGCAGUCAGACUUGCCCGUAGUUGCUCACCUAGGCUUUUGCCUGGGGCACUCUUCUGCGGGCAGGCCAGCAUCAGUUUGGGCGGCCGGACAAAGACCUCUGUCAUGUAUCUUCCUUCGGGAUGACCUUAUAGGGGAGGUGUAAUGCGGCCAGCCCGGACUGAGGUCCGCGCUUUUGCUAGGAUGCUGGCGUAAUGGCUGUAAGCGGCCCGUCUUGAAACACGGACCAAGGAGUCUAACAUCUAUGCGAGUGUUUGGGUGUCAAGCCCGGGCGCGCAAUGAAAGUGAACGGAGGUGGGAACCUUUGGGUGCACCAUCGACCGAUCCUGAUGUCUUCGGAUGGAUUUGAGUAAGAGCAUAGCUGUUGGGACCCGAAAGAUGGUGAACUAUGCUUGAAUAGGGUGAAGCCAGAGGAAACUCUGGUGGAGGCUCGCAGCGGUUCUGACGUGCAAAUCGAUCGUCAAAUUUGGGCAUAGGGGCGAAAGACUAAUCGAACCAUCUAGUAGCUGGUUCCUGCGAGUCU